UUCUGCUUCUUGUAAAUGAUUGAGUACUUAUUGUAUGUGCUUGUGGUGUUCAGUGAGUGAUCCAUCAGUGAAGAUCAGGAUAUCAUUCAUGUAUGCUGAUGUGAUCUCAUCAAGUAGAUCUUAUAGAGCUCAGUUGAUAUAUUUCUGGAAUGUGCUGGAGGUGUUUGCUAGCUCAAAGAGAGUCACUGUCCAUUUGUAUAGUCUGUAAUAUGUAUGAAAGAUGGUUAGCCAUUUGUUAUCUUUGUUGAUUCUUAUCUUGUAGAAGGCUGCAGAGAUGUCAAGCUUUGUGAAUCAUUUCACUUUUUCUAUUUGUUUGAGUGUUUCAUUGAUG
This 331-nucleotide small RNA is filed under the name Histoplasma capsulatum. RNAcentral describes it as "hypothetical RNA". Lineage: Eukaryota; Fungi; Ascomycota; Eurotiomycetes; Onygenales; Ajellomycetaceae. The record is from RNAcentral. RNAcentral also lists the same sequence under 1 other name.